AGUGAACGCUGGCGGUAGGCCUAACACAUGCAAGUCGAACGGCAGCACAGUAAGAGCUUGCUCUUACGGGUGGCGAGUGGCGGACGGGUGAGGAAUACAUCGGAAUCUACUUUUUCGUGGGGGAUAACGUAGGGAAACUUACGCUAAUACCGCAUACGACCUACGGGUGAAAGCAGGGGAUCUUCGGACCUUGCGCGAUUGAAUGAGCCGAUGUCGGAUUAGCUAGUUGGCGGGGUAAAGGCCCACCAAGGCGACGAUCCGUAGCUGGUCUGAGAGGAUGAUCAGCCACACUGGAACUGAGACACGGUCCAGACUCCUACGGGAGGCAGCAGUGGGGAAUAUUCGACAAUGGGCGCAAGCCUGAUCCAGCAAUACCGCGUGGGUGAAGAAGGCCUUCGGGUUGUAAAGCCCUUUUGUUGGGAAAGAAAAGCAGCAGGUUAAUACCCCGCUGUUCUGACGGUACCCAAAGAAUAAGCACCGGCUAACUUCGUG
RNAcentral lists this ribosomal RNA (492 nucleotides) under uncultured bacterium. Its description in RNAcentral is "partial 16S ribosomal RNA". It matches the Rfam family "Bacterial small subunit ribosomal RNA", at positions 29 to 507 of the family's 1533-position model. The record is from RNAcentral.